RNAcentral lists this ribosomal RNA (449 nucleotides) under uncultured bacterium. Its description in RNAcentral is "partial 16S ribosomal RNA". It matches the Rfam family "Bacterial small subunit ribosomal RNA", at positions 29 to 523 of the family's 1533-position model. The record is from RNAcentral.
AGCGAACGCUGGCGGCAGGCCUAACACAUGCAAGUCGAACGAAGCCUUCGGGCUUAGUGGCGGACGGGUGAGUAACACGUGGGAACGUACCUUUUGGUUCGGAACAACUCAGGGAAACUUGAGCUAAUACCGGAUGAGCCCUUAGGGGGAAAGAUUUAUCGCCGAAAGAGCGGCCCGCGUUAGAUUAGCUAGUUGGUGAGGUAAAGGCUCACCAAGGCUACGAUCUAUAGCUGGUCUGAGAGGAUGAUCAGCCACACUGGGACUGAGACACGGCCCAGACUCCUACGGGAGGCAGCAGUGGGGAAUCUUGCGCAAUGGGCGAAAGCCUGACGCAGCCAUGCCGCGUGAAUGAUGAAGGUCUUAGGAUUGUAAAAUUCUUUUACCAGGGACGAUAAUGACGGUACCUGGAGAAAAAGCCCCGGCUAACUUCGUGCCAGCCGCCGCCGUAA